This 87-nucleotide transfer RNA is filed under the name Tissierellia bacterium. RNAcentral describes it as "tRNA-Leu". It matches the Rfam family "tRNA". Rfam says of the family: Transfer RNA (tRNA) molecules are approximately 80 nucleotides in length. Their secondary structure includes four short double-helical elements and three loops (D, anti-codon, and T loops). The record is from RNAcentral. Lineage: Bacteria; Bacillati; Bacillota; Tissierellia.
GCCGAAGUGAUGGAAUUGGCAGACGUGCGAGACUCAAACUCUCGUGGUGGCAACACCGUGUGGGUUCGAUCCCCACCUUCGGCACCA